Molecule: small RNA, 818 nt
Filed under: Cryptococcus neoformans H99
Lineage: Eukaryota; Fungi; Basidiomycota; Tremellomycetes; Tremellales; Cryptococcaceae
Description: Cryptococcus neoformans var. grubii H99 hypothetical RNA
Source: RNAcentral
CUAGUAGUAGCUCAGCUGCUGGUCGUAAUGGUUCGUAUUACAUCGGGCAUGAGCAAUAUAACUAUAAGCAAAGUGACUUUCAACCAUUCGUUUAUAGUCCCUAUUUGAACCAGCUUUCAUGCCACCUACCACAAUCGAUCGUCGUCUUUUUGCUGAUCAUCGCCACUGCCCAAGCUAUUGACGUUGCCUUCCGGUCAGCCCCAUUCGGAUGGAAAAGUAAUGGUAUACAUGUUGUGGAAUGGGGGGUAGAGUCUUGCGAGAUCGAAUUGUAUUAUAACCCGAUACUUCGGCUUAUUUGAAGGCGGCAUAUUGAUUUUUUCUUCCAGUCAAGUUAGAACGAUACGGGCCCCUUGCAGUAUAUUCUGACAUAUCCCAAUUCAUCUUCAAUUUUUCUCGUGACUGAUAUUCCGACGGAUCAUGAUUAUCUUGCGUACUCGCCUAACUCCGUACUUCCAUCCAGAAAUAGAUACGCACUCGCCAUCAUAUCAUCCGACAACCUGACGCUUUUCAAGGCAGAUUUUGCAGUAGAGGAUGGACGCGAGAUCAUUUCGCUCCUGCCGAAGUCUUUGUAUUUGGUGGCAGUGCAGGCGGACGGAGUAGAGGUAGUUCGAGCAGUGGAAAAUCAGUCUCUAAGGCCUGGAAGACAGGUGAUGGAGCGGAUGAUGUUGUUGGAACUCGAGGGUCCUUCAGAGUCCAGCGUAUCAGCGGCGAACGACCUGUUUUUGGAGUCAUUUUAGCCGUUGGUGCGGCUGCUGUGCUGUCGAGGUAGUCUGGGGAGUAAAAAGACAAACGUUGCGACAUUAUUAUUAUAGCAUGCG